GUCACGGUGGACAUGCUCACGCUCGAUUCCUGUGAAAUCUGGAACUUUUCCAUACCCUACAGUAUGCCCAGAAAGCACUCCACACAGAAAAGGGCUCCAGUACAUGACCACGCCCAUCAAAGAGAGCAGGUGCAAAGCUUGAAGAGGUCUCUCCCUUCAGCUCUCCACUUUGGGGGUCUGCUGUGACAGCUCCCCUCACUGGUUGCGCCCUUUCCUGGUUCUGAUGGUCACCGUGUGGAUGAGGAAACAGGGACUCAUUGAGGAUUUAUCCCCUUGGUGGAGAACAUAGAAUCCAGAAACAAGAAGUAUAUAACAAGAAGCUGUCGGACGCCAGAGUUAAGGAGCCCACGUUCACAGAACCGGAAGUGUCUAAGUCAGGGACCACAAAACUACAAACAGCAGGAUCUGCAGACUUGGAGUCCUCAAAUCUCAGCGAUGACUCAGAGAUGCCAAGAGGCCGGACACUUGGGUCCUAAGAUUGUCCGUGCAAGAGUGAGGAUCCUGGAUGUGGAAGUUCCUCAGCGUAGCAAGGGAUUCUGAAAUUUAAAGCUACAGCUCAGCUCUUCAUCUUGGGCUGCAUGUGGUGUCUGGGAAUCCUGCAGGUGGGACCAGCUGCCCAUGUCAUGGCCUACCUCUUCACCAUCAUCAACAGCCUUCAUCUUCCUGGUGCACUGCUUCCUCAGCCAGCAGGUCCAGGAGCAAUACAGGAAAUGGUUCGCAAGCGUCAGGAAAACCACAGCUGAGUCUGAGAAGUAGAUGCUCUCCAGCAGGGCCGUGUCUGAUGCCUACAAACACAGUGUGGAGAAUUAAAUUAAUAGCUAAACCGAGGACAUUGUAUCCUGGAAAGUUCUGAACUGUCAUCCUUUGGGCAAAGAUUACAGAAAAUACUUUUUAAUGUUUGUUACAAGAAACUCUUCAUGGUGCCAUUGUGGGAGAAAGUAUCAGGAAAUGUUUGACAUUCAGUUGCUGGAGAAUUGGGGUCUUCUGGGCCAUACAGCUUGCUCACCUCAUUCCCACAGAGUCAAGGAGCUAUGACCCAAUUCCCCAGCUGCUUUGGAUGAAACCCUCUGCUCCAACCUCCUCUUCUGCAAGGAAGUUCCUCAAGUUGAAGAUACAUUACACGGAUAAUGAGCCUUAGAGGACUUUCUUAAAAUAGCAUCAGAGAGGAAAAUAAUGUUCAAAUACUGCGUGUAAUGUAAACAUUUAAUCCAGUUGCCCAACUUUCCUGGUUUUAGUACUGAAAGUCCUCUGGCCCAUGAGACACUUGGGUUACAGGCCAACUAGGACAGUUUGUCUCCCUGCUGACCUGCCUCAACUUCUUCACUCUCUAUCUCUAAGGCUUACAAAUUUAUUCAUUCAAAAAUAUAUAUGUUUUUUACUCACCAUGUGCUGCACACAGAUCAAGACAGAUUCAGUUCCUCAUUUCACAGAGCUUACUGGUAAAAGAAUAUUUCCUCAGAGUAAAAUCAGAAACCUCUGAAUAGAGUCUCUACAUCCUUACAUUUUACAAGCUGAGCUGUGAGAUAAGGUGUAUAUUGCUACUGCAAAUUUUGUAAGUUAUAGCUAUACAUAUUGCUCAUAUAUGGAUAUCUAUGCAUCCUCAGCAUAUAAUCUAGAGAAAAUCUAAAUCCAGAGCAGUAACACUUACAUGAAAUUCCCUGUGGGCCCCACUGACCAAAUCUGCGUCAAUUUGAGUGUCCAGGAAAAUGACUGUAAAUGAUUAUAAAAUAUUAAAUAAAAAUACCCAUGAGUCCAUAGUGACACAUAAAAUGUCAGCUCUAAACGUAAAAGAUAUGAUAGAAUUAGAAGAUCAUGGGUUUUUCAAUAUCCAGUAAGAGGCCACUAAAAGCAUGGGGUGAAAGGCUGCUGGAGGACAAGCUGGUCCUACAGAGCCCAAAAAUCCCCUCAGAUUACUGGUUCAUCACAAGGGCCAAGGUGCACAUCUACAACAUGGAGAUCUGCCAGUCACCAUCUGAACUUAAAUGAUCAGGCUUAACAUCACCACUAUGGGAAACCUGACAUCAGAUAUCUCCUCAGAAGACAUGAAGUUACAACAUCCCAUUUGUGGUGAAUAAAGAAUUAUUGACAAAUCAGUCUGACCUAAACCUAAUCCAGCCUUCAGACCAAGGGUGGACAAACUGGAGCAUGCAGGACAAGUGCAGGCAGCCGCCUGCUCUGGUGAAUAAAGAUUUAUUGGAGCACAGCCACACCCAUUCAUGGAUGAUUGUCUAUGGCUGCUCUCACGCUACAGUGUCAGAGUUGAGUAGCUGUGACAGAGACUGUACGAACGACAAGCUGAAAAUAUAUACCACCUGGCCCUUUAUGGGCAACCUUGCUGGCACCUGUUCUUCCAGAUCUAACGUUCAGUAUACACAGAAUACAGGGGACAGAAGAACAGGUUAAAUGGCAUCAAGAGGAAACAAUCAGGCAAAUUGAGAGUGUGGGGCAUUCAACAAGCCCUGGACUCUUCUAAAGUCAAUAGCAUUUUAAAAAGUGACUAGAGGCUAUUCCAUAUCAAAAGAGGCAAAAGUGACAUCACCAUCGAGUUCAGCGUAAAUUUUAGUGGGACUCUGGUUCAGAAACACAGCUAUAAAAAUAUUUUGGAGCAAUUGGGGUAAUUUGAAUAUGGAUCAGAUAGUAAAUGUUGUUAUGAAAUUGCUGAUUUUCUUGAGUGUCACAAAGGUAAGUGGUUAUGUAGACCACAUUCUUUAAAUUCUUCAACAUUUGAUGAAGAAAUAUUGCAGAAUGGAGUGUCAUGUCUGCCUCUGACCAUCAAAUGUUUUAGCAAUAAAAUGUGUACGUGUGUAUACAAAUUAAGAAAGAUUUUUUUAAUGUGGUACUACAUUAAUAAUUGUUGACGUUAGAUGGAGGAUAUAUGAGUGGUUUAUAUCAUUCUCCCAAAUUCUCUGUAUGUUUAAAAAUUGUAAAUAGAGGGGAGGGCCCCAUGGCCGAGUGGUUAAGUUCGCGCACUCCACUGCAGGCGUCCCAGUGUUUCGUUGGUUCGAAUCUUGGGUGCGCACAUGGCACUGCUCAUCAAACCACGCUGAGGCAGCGUCCCACAUGCCAAAACUAGAAGGACCCACAAUGAAGAACAUACAACUAUGUACCGGGGGGUUUUGGGAAGAAAAGGAAAAAAAUAAAAUCUUUAAAAAAAUUGUAAAUAGAAGUUACAUAAAAGUAAGUAAACAUAUUAGUUAUUAUUUCAUUAAAACAUAUGCCCUCAUGAAUUCCUUCAUAUCCAGAAAAUACAUUUUCCUCCACUACAAAAAACUAAUUUUGUAAAUAAAUAUGUUAUAAAUAUAUGAAUUUGCAUGGCUACAUGGUGAUGAAAUUAAAUCUGCAAACUAAAAAUAAAAUAUUAGAAGAAGA
Molecule: long non-coding RNA, 3369 nt
Filed under: Equus asinus (donkey)
Lineage: Eukaryota; Metazoa; Chordata; Mammalia; Perissodactyla; Equidae
Description: lncRNA (ENSEASG00005033740.1)
Source: RNAcentral